This 499-nucleotide ribosomal RNA is filed under the name Enterobacter sp. SCW-4. RNAcentral describes it as "bacterial SSU rRNA". It matches the Rfam family "Bacterial small subunit ribosomal RNA", at positions 54 to 543 of the family's 1533-position model. Lineage: Bacteria; Pseudomonadati; Pseudomonadota; Gammaproteobacteria; Enterobacterales; Enterobacteriaceae. The record is from RNAcentral.
CAUGCAGUCGAGCGGCAGCGGAAAGUAGCUUGCUACUUUGCCGGCGAGCGGCGGACGGGUGAGUAAUGUCUGGGAAACUGCCUGAUGGAGGGGGAUAACUACUGGAAACGGUAGCUAAUACCGCAUAACGUCGCAAGACCAAAGAGGGGGACCUUCGGGCCUCUUGCCAUCAGAUGUGCCCAGAUGGGAUUAGCUAGUAGGUGGGGUAACGGCUCACCUAGGCGACGAUCCCUAGCUGGUCUGAGAGGAUGACCAGCCACACUGGAACUGAGACACGGUCCAGACUCCUACGGGAGGCAGCAGUGGGGAAUAUUGCACAAUGGGCGCAAGCCUGAUGCAGCCAUGCCGCGUGUAUGAAGAAGGCCUUCGGGUUGUAAAGUACUUUCAGCGGGGAGGAAGGCGUUGAGGUUAAUAACCUCAGCGAUUGACGUUACCCGCAGAAGAAGCACCGGCUAACUCCGUGCCAGCAGCCGCGGUAAUACGGAGGGUGCAAGCGUUA